RNAcentral lists this ribosomal RNA (401 nucleotides) under uncultured bacterium. RNAcentral describes it as "bacterial SSU rRNA". It matches the Rfam family "Bacterial small subunit ribosomal RNA", at positions 356 to 773 of the family's 1533-position model. The record is from RNAcentral.
AGGGAAUCUUGCGCAAUGGGCGAAAGCCUGACGCAGCGACGCCGCGUGGGGGAUGAAGGUCUUCGGAUCGUAAACCCCUGUCUUUGGGGACGAAGCAUGACGGUACCCAAGGAGGAAGCCCCGGCUAACUACGUGCCAGCAGCCGCGGUAAAACGUAGGGGGCGAGCGUUGUCCGGAAUUACUGGGCGUAAAGGGUGCGUAGGCGGCCGCUUAAGUCCUGUGUGAAAGGCCCCGGCUUAACCGGGGAGGGUCAUGGGAAACUGGGCGGCUUGAGUGCCGGAGAGGGUGGCGGAAUUCCCGGUGUAGCGGUGAAAUGCGUAGAGAUCGGGAGGAACACCAGUGGCGUAGGCGGCCACCUGGACGGCAACUGACGCUGAGGCACGACAGCUGGGGGAGCAAAC